UACGUAGGGCGCAAGCGUUGUCCGGAAUUAUUGGGCGUAAAGAGCUCGUAGGCGGUUUGUCGCGUCUGCUGUGAAAACUCGAGGCUCAACCUUGGGCUUGCAGUGGGGUACGGGCAGACUAGAGUGCGGUAGGGGUGACUGGAAUUCCUGGUGUAGCGGUGGAAUGCGCAGAUAUCAGGAGGAACACCAAUUGGCGAAGGCAGCUCGCUGGGACGUUACUG
This 221-nucleotide ribosomal RNA is filed under the name uncultured bacterium. RNAcentral describes it as "partial 16S ribosomal RNA". It matches the Rfam family "Bacterial small subunit ribosomal RNA", at positions 524 to 742 of the family's 1533-position model. The record is from RNAcentral.